This 327-nucleotide long non-coding RNA is filed under the name Dromaius novaehollandiae (emu). RNAcentral describes it as "lncRNA (ENSDNVG00000007470.1)". The record is from RNAcentral. Lineage: Eukaryota; Metazoa; Chordata; Aves; Casuariiformes; Dromaiidae.
GGACGGGGAGCAGAAUCUGGCACUCGGCAACCUUCGGCGGUUUCCGUGCAGGCCUGGCCGCCAUUUUCUCGCAGCCUUCGUGCGCUCGGUGUUUGCGCGGCUCUCCGUCCUGCCUGCCCGCGCUUUGUCCUGCUCGGCGAUGGACGGCAUUGUCACUGAUGUUGCAGUUGGUGUGAAGAGAGGAUCUGACGAACUUCUUUCAGGCAGUGUACUCAAUAGCCCGAACUCUAACAUGAGCAGCAUGGUAGUUACUGGUAAGUGAUGCCAUUUCAAAGGAGAAAUCUAUCAUUUAUUCUUGGACUCAUUUCCUGUUUACAAGGGGAAAAU